RNAcentral lists this ribosomal RNA (700 nucleotides) under Lactococcus lactis. RNAcentral describes it as "bacterial SSU rRNA". It matches the Rfam family "Bacterial small subunit ribosomal RNA", at positions 36 to 719 of the family's 1533-position model. Lineage: Bacteria; Bacillati; Bacillota; Bacilli; Lactobacillales; Streptococcaceae. The record is from RNAcentral.
UUGGAAGGCGCUGCCUAUACAUGCAGUUGAGCGCUGAAGGUUGGUACUUGUACCGACUGGAUGAGCAGCGAACGGGUGAGUAACGCGUGGGGAAUCUGCCUUUGAGCGGGGGACAACAUUUGGAAACGAAUGCUAAUACCGCAUAACAACUUUAAACACAAGUUUUAAGUUUGAAAGAUGCAAUUGCAUCACUCAAAGAUGAUCCCGCGUUGUAUUAGCUAGUUGGUGAGGUAAAGGCUCACCAAGGCGAUGAUACAUAGCCGACCUGAGAGGGUGAUCGGCCACAUUGGGACUGAGACACGGCCCAAACUCCUACGGGAGGCAGCAGUAGGGAAUCUUCGGCAAUGGACGAAAGUCUGACCGAGCAACGCCGCGUGAGUGAAGAAGGUUUUCGGAUCGUAAAACUCUGUUGGUAGAGAAGAACGUUGGUGAGAGUGGAAAGCUCAUCAAGUGACGGUAACUACCCAGAAAGGGACGGCUAACUACGUGCCAGCAGCCGCGGUAAUACGUAGGUCCCGAGCGUUGUCCGGAUUUAUUGGGCGUAAAGCGAGCGCAGGUGGUUUAUUAAGUCUGGUGUAAAAGGCAGUGGCUCAACCAUUGUAUGCAUUGGAAACUGGUAGACUUGAGUGCAGGAGAGGAGAGUGGAAUUCCAUGUGUAGCGGUGAAAUGCGUAGAUAUAUGGAGGAACACCGGUGGCGAA